RNAcentral lists this ribosomal RNA (497 nucleotides) under uncultured bacterium. Its description in RNAcentral is "partial 16S ribosomal RNA". It matches the Rfam family "Bacterial small subunit ribosomal RNA", at positions 28 to 507 of the family's 1533-position model. The record is from RNAcentral.
GACGAACGCUGGCGGCGUGCCUAAUACAUGCAAGUAGAACGCUGAAGAGAGGAUCUUGCUCUUCUUGGAUGAGUUGCGAACGGGUGAGUAACGCGUAGGUAACCUGCCUUGUAGCGUGGGAUAACUAUUGGAAACGAUAGCUAAUACCGCAUAACAAUGGAUGACACAUGUCAUUUAUUUGAAAGGGGCAAUUGCUCCACUACAAGAUGGACCUGCGUUGUAUUAGCUAGUAGGUGAGGUAAUGGCUCACCUAUGCGACGAUACAUAGCCGACCUGAGAGGGUGAUCGGCCACAAUGGGACUGAGACACGGCCCAGACUCCUACGGGAGGCAGCAGUAGGGAAUCUUCGGCAAUGGGGGCAACCCUGACCGAGCAACGCCGCGUGAGUGAAGAAGGUUUUCGGAUCGUAAAGCUCUGUUGUAAGUCAAGAACGGGUGUGAGAGUGGAAAGUUCACACUGUGACGGUAGCUUAACAGAAAGGGACGGCUAACUACGUG